RNAcentral lists this ribosomal RNA (252 nucleotides) under uncultured bacterium. RNAcentral's name for it is "partial 16S ribosomal RNA". It matches the Rfam family "Bacterial small subunit ribosomal RNA", at positions 524 to 776 of the family's 1533-position model. The record is from RNAcentral.
UACGUAGGGUGCGAGCGUUAAUCGGAAUUACUGGGCGUAAAGCGUGCGCAGGCGGUUCUCCAAGUCCGUUGUGAAAGCCCCGGGCUCAACCUGGGAAUGGCAGUGGAAACUAGGGGACUGGAAUCUGGCAGAGGGGGUGGAAUGCCGCGUGUAGCAGUGAAAUGCGUAGAUAUGCGGAGGAACACCGAUGGCGAAGGCAAUCCCCUGGGCCUGCACUGACGCUCAUGCACGAAAGCGUGGGGAGCAAACAGG